AAAACUUUCAACAACGGAUCUCUAGGCUCUUGCAUCGAUGAAGAACGCAGUGAAAUGCGAUAAGUAAUGUGAAUUGCAGAAUCUCGUGAACCAUCGAAUCUUUGAACGCACAUUGCGCCCUAUGGUAUUCCGUAGGGCAUGCCUGUCUGAGCGUCAGC
Molecule: ribosomal RNA, 158 nt
Filed under: Eremiomyces magnisporus
Lineage: Eukaryota; Fungi; Ascomycota; Pezizomycetes; Pezizales; Tuberaceae
Description: 5.8S ribosomal RNA
Rfam family: 5.8S ribosomal RNA
About the family: 5.8S ribosomal RNA (5.8S rRNA) is a component of the large subunit of the eukaryotic ribosome.
Source: RNAcentral